AGUGAACGCUGGCGGUAGGCCUAACACAUGCAAGUCGAACGGCAGCACAGUAAGAUCUUGCUCUUACGGGUGGCGAGUGGCGGACGGGUGAGGAAUACAUCGGAAUCUACUUUUUCGUGGGGGAUAACGGAGGGAAACUUACGCUAAUACCGCAUACGACCUACGGGUGAAAGCAGGGGAUCUUCGGACCUUGCGCGAUUGAAUGAGCCGAUGUCGGAUUAGCUAGUUGGCGGGGUAAAGGCCCACCAAGGCGACGAUCCGUAGCUGGUCUGAGAGGAUGAUCAGCCACACUGGAACUGAGACACGGUCCAGACUCCUACGGGAGGCAGCAGUGGGGAAUAUUGGACAAUGGGCGCAAGCCUGAUCCAGCCAUACCGCGUGGGUGAAGAAGGCCUUCGGGUUGUAAAGCCCUUUUGUUGGGAAAGAAAAGCAGUAGGUUAAUACCCCGCUGUUCUGACGGUACCCAAAGAAUAAGCACCGGCUAACUUCGUG
Molecule: ribosomal RNA, 492 nt
Filed under: uncultured bacterium
Lineage: Bacteria
Description: partial 16S ribosomal RNA
Rfam family: Bacterial small subunit ribosomal RNA
Source: RNAcentral